CAUCUACCGAUUGAAUGGAGAGGUAAAAUCUCCGGACUAUGACGCGUUGGGGUCAAACCUAAUGCAGUCGUGGGAAGUGGAUUAAACCUUUCCAUUUAGAGGAAGAUGAAGUCGUAACAAGGUUUCCGUAGGUGAACCUGCAGAAGGAUCAAGACCGGAAGAGCGUCGUGGAGGGAACGUGCGUAUAUCUCGGGCGCCGCCGUCCCCUUAAACAAAAAAAACCCCCCACCACACUCUCACCCUCCCUACUCCCCCACAUCCUCUCCUCCCACUCUCC
RNAcentral lists this unclassified non-coding RNA (277 nucleotides) under sea anemone metagenome. RNAcentral's name for it is "partial contains small subunit ribosomal RNA and internal transcribed spacer 1". The stretch from base 1 to 154 matches the Rfam family "Eukaryotic small subunit ribosomal RNA", at positions 1679 to 1831 of the family's 1831-position model. The record is from RNAcentral.